This 385-nucleotide ribosomal RNA is filed under the name uncultured bacterium. RNAcentral's name for it is "bacterial SSU rRNA". It matches the Rfam family "Bacterial small subunit ribosomal RNA", at positions 28 to 406 of the family's 1533-position model. The record is from RNAcentral.
GAUGAACGCUAGCGGCAGGCCUAACACAUGCAAGUCGAGGGGCAGCACAAGGUAGCAAUACUGAGGUGGCGACCGGCGCACGGGUGAGUAACGCGUAUGCAACCUACCCUAUACUGGGGGAUAGCUCAAAGAAAUUUGAAUUAAACCCGCAUAAAGCAGGGGUACCGCAUGGUACUAUUUGCUAAAAACUCCGGUGGUAUAGGAUGGGCAUGCGUGUCAUUAGCUAGUUGGUGAGGUAACGGCUCACCAAGGCUACGAUGACUAGGGGGUCUGAGAGGAUGAUCCCCCACACUGGUACUGAGACACGGACCAGACUCCUACGGGAGGCAGCAGUGAGGAAUAUUGGUCAAUGGGGGCAACCCUGAACCAGCCAUGCCGCGUGAAG